AAAUAAACAUCACUAAUUUUUCCUAAAUUGAAACCCAGGUUUCUUCUUCUUCUUUGCGCUUGAUUUCCUUUCCUUUCCCAGGUUUCUUUCUUCUCUGCAAACCUAGGCCAUUUGUUUCAUUCUUGCUUUUGAUUCCUAAAAUGAAACUCAAGUUUCCUUUUCUUUUUUGUACUCGAUUUCCUUUCCUUUCCCAGGCUUCUUUCUUCUCUGCAAACCUAGGUCAUUUGUUUCAUUUUUGCUUUCGAUUCCUUUCCUUUUCAUGCUGUUUCCAAUGGGUUCUCUUUGUUUUCGAUCUUAUUCUUUUUCCUUUUCCAAUUUGUUCCGAAUCCCACUCUAAACUCAACCCUCGAGAACUUUUCCGUUCAUUUGUCGCUGCCGUUCCCAUCACUGUCGUUCAUCUUCCUUUUCCUUCCAUCUAUAACACUGGUUUAAGGGGCAGAGAUAGAGCGUCAAAUCGAUGAAAAAAAGGGAAUUAAAGCUAAGCUGGAAGAGGCAUCUAGAGAACCAAGAAGGAAGAUGAAGAAAGGAAAUAAUUGCAGAAUUUAAAAGCUUGCUUUCUUCAUUUCCCUAGGAAAUGAGUUUGAUGUAGAGUCAAUUAGGUAAGUACAAAAAGGCUGCAAUAGAUAUUCAUUCUAUCCGGGCUGAUAUGUAAUCUUUUUCCAGUAUUCUUGAUGGGAAGGUUAGUACUUUAUAAGUUGUGUGGUCAUUUUUGGUUUUGCUUUAAGGGCUUAGGGAUCAUUUUUUUCUAUAUGGACUUACAAAGAAUUUGUAAAUAAUUAUUUAUGAACAGAUGAAAGAGUGUGAGAAUUUAUCUGUCAGAUCUGCUGACCAUGUUGCUGAGAUGCAUAAGUUGCAAGCCAUGGUAUGAUUGGUUAAUAUUACUCUGUUAUUUUGAUUAAACAUGUCUUCAAGAAACUUGUGAUAGGAAAUUGAUGCUUGUUGAAAUUAAAGGGAAAGAUGCUUACAUUUACCAGUAAAAUCUGCGUUUGUCUGUGCUACCUUAGUGGCUCAUUUCCUCCCCGCUGGUUCCACAUUUCAGGUUUUCCUUGAGCCUUCUUUAGAUCCUCUGGACUAUACCUUUGCUGAUUGUUUCAUAAAAUUUUUGCUACAAGUAUUUUUUUUACCUUUUCAAGUUGCUACAUUUGUAUCAAUGCUUGCAGUAGUUUACAUGAGAAUAUUCCUUGAGGAAAAUAUACCAAAUCAAGUGGACAGUAUAACACAAUCAAUCUUGAAAGAGCAAGUAAGGCUUGCUAUAGUAAUAUUUUCCUGGCACUUUGGCCUAUUCUCGAAACUGGUAAAAUUAGGCUAUCAUUUUAAAGAAGUGAAUGUAUAAGUUGUUUCCAUGGCCUAAUACUCACAAUAAUUUGAUGUAAUUGUGUUAUUAUUAAUGUUUGAAAUGACUAAUAAAGUUUUAAUUUCAGUAUACAAUUUUCCUAAGCAGCAGUUGUUGCUUUCUUCAAUGGUCUUGCAGAGGGUGAGAUGAUAUCUUCAUCGAUGGUAUGACUUCCUUUCUAAUUGUGAAAUUAUGACUUUUACCAAUUAGAAACUUAAGAUGAGUUUUUUGAUCUUAUAAUCCAAAUAUACAUAGCUGAAAAUGACAAAAUCAAUGAUUUAGAAGCAAACUCAAAGAAAUGAACAAGCAAACCAAAACCGAAAAUUAAUAGGGUAGUAAAGCAAGAGCAUGAAAAUAAAUUAAAAAAAAAAUUAAAACACUUGACUCAAGUAACAAAGUGCCUCCUAGGUGAAUGCUCAACCUAGAAGCAACCUUGUACCAUCCUUAUCAACCUCUAAACAGCCAUGAAAAAUCAAAGAAACAACAACCUAAAGCAAACAUCAAAAUCUGGAGACUGGUUUUGGACAACAUCUGAUUAAAAUUAAGUUUCACUCUUAUUUGAUAGUAUUUGAUCUCCAAAUUUUUUGUGGAAGUAACUAACUAAUAUAUGAACAUGCACAUAAAUUUUCAAGAGCAUUGGACAUCGUUUAGUACUUGAAAUUUAACCAAAACCGUAGCAAAACAAAAUCUGGAAUUUCAGCUUGAAAAACAGAACAGCUCCUACUAAAUCUUAGAUAUAGCUCGAUAUAUAUGGAAUUUUUGCUCUCAUAUUUUAUAGAAGUUUAGAUAACUCAUAGAUGAACAAGUGCUAAAAAGCUUGAUACAAAUUGAAAUCGAAUUGAACUUGGAAAGUAACAAAAACCAAAACAAAAUAAAAUCUGAAAACAGAAUAACAUUCUGGAAACAGCUUUUAAAAAAGAUUAAAUUUGCUAGCUCAAUUAGAACUAUUUGAUCAAGAGGAAGCACGGUAAAUCAAGCUAACAAGUAGAGGAACAACAUACAAAAAGCUCAUGAUUUGUUGAAACUAAAAUCAACUUAAAAAUUAAUUAAACAGUAGCUAACAUCAAACCUGAAAACUCAAAAACUGUGUUCAAUACAAAUUGAAAUUGCAAGCUUAAAUGGAAAAUGUUUGCUUAAAGGAACUAAAGUAGAGCUAAAUAACAGGUAAAGGAAUGUAAAAGAAACUUAAAAUUAAUUUAAAACAAAAGGAAAAACAAAGAACAAGUGCUGUAGAUUGAAUGUAACUCAUCAAUGUCAAAUUUAUUUGUUCUUGUCCAUUUCUACACUCUUGUUCAUGUUAAUGGCUAGUACAAUGUAUGGCUGUUGAUUGAAUAAUAAUGUUCUUUGCUUUAUCAUACCAAAGUAUUC
Molecule: long non-coding RNA, 2701 nt
Organism: Durio zibethinus
Lineage: Eukaryota; Viridiplantae; Streptophyta; Magnoliopsida; Malvales; Malvaceae
Source: RefSeq, a predicted model, not a curated record